Long non-coding RNA from Trichosurus vulpecula (common brushtail), 203 nucleotides. RefSeq lists it as uncharacterized. NCBI's taxonomy places the organism in Eukaryota, Metazoa, Chordata, Mammalia, Diprotodontia, Phalangeridae. The transcript is spliced from 3 exons. The record is from RefSeq and is a predicted model, not a curated record.
AUGGCUCUGUGCUGACAGCCAGGCCAGGACAGGAAUCAGUAACAUUCAAGGAUGUGGCUGUGGAAUUCACCCGAGAGGAGUGGGGACAAUUGAACCCAUCUCAGAAAAUGUUGUACAGGGAUGUGAUGCUGGAGAAUUAUAGGAACUUGGUGUCUUUGGGAUUUGCAGUUUCCAAACCAGAUGUGAUCUAUCAGUUGGAAAGG